AUAAUAAAAAAUAUUAUAAUUAUUUUUUGUUGUAAUAUUAAUUUUUGCGGAUUGUAAUUACUCGAAUAUAAUAUAUUUUUAACGCUGGUUCUGGUAAACAGAAAAAUAUUUUUUUUUAUUUUAUAUGCUUUUCUGUCGAUUUUAUUUGUCUAUUUUAGUAUUAGGUUUAUUUAACACUAAUAAAUAAAAUAAAAUUGAUUUGAUUUUUUUCAAUAAAAUUGUGAAAAAAUAUAUCAUAUUCGAGUAAUUGUGAUAUGCGAACGCGAUAUUACAUGCGAAAAUGAACAUGACAACGCAAUUUCAAAGAGGGCUUAAAUCAAAAUAGUAAUAUUAAUAAAAAAAAUUGCAUGUU
This 352-nucleotide long non-coding RNA is filed under the name Ananas comosus (pineapple). RNAcentral's name for it is "long non-coding RNA (ACOM_LNC028652)". The record is from RNAcentral. Lineage: Eukaryota; Viridiplantae; Streptophyta; Magnoliopsida; Poales; Bromeliaceae.